Molecule: non-coding RNA, 477 nt
Organism: Ciona intestinalis (vase tunicate)
Lineage: Eukaryota; Metazoa; Chordata; Ascidiacea; Phlebobranchia; Cionidae
Source: RefSeq, a predicted model, not a curated record
UGGAGAAUUAGUUUUCGUGACUUUCCAGGGUUCAGAUUUUAAAUUCUUUUCGUUUUUUCCCAUAUGGCAUAGGUACUAUAUUUAUAUCUGUAUUUAAAGUUACCAUAUAGGAGUUUACCAUAGAGGCCAAGUAAUCAUGCCUGAUUAGUGCUGUGUUUAAAGUAGCAAGACAAGAAUGGCUGUAAAGCGAUAAGUGUGUGUGUGUUUUCAUUUUCAAAAGGAAGAGUGGGACAUAGAAAAAAAGCAAGGAACAUUACAUUGGAUAUGCAAGGAAACUUGUUCGGAUCAAGUAAGCAGCAUUUAUUUGGAGAGUGCAGAAAAACACAGAAGAAACAGAUCCACCAUCUGUCAUUCCCGUACCUAUCGAACAAAGUUCUGAUCAGCUGUGUAGCGAUACUGUCUAAACAAAAGCCAUAAACAUGUGAUUGACCAGCUUUUUGGUAUAAAGGCCAACAAUAAAUACUAUAUUAGUGUAAA